This 2390-nucleotide long non-coding RNA is filed under the name Sus scrofa (pig). Its description in RNAcentral is "lncRNA (ENSSSCG00045029984.1)". The record is from RNAcentral. Lineage: Eukaryota; Metazoa; Chordata; Mammalia; Artiodactyla; Suidae.
UCAUAAGCCAGAGAGUUACAGAUGAACAUCUGGAAGACUGGAUCCUUAGCCAUAAAAUGAAGGAACCAGGGGUGAUGAACUCAUCUGGCCAUAAACAAUGGAAAGAUGGCAAAACAUUUGAAGCAACUGCUUUCUGAAACUGGAAGACACUUAGCUCAGAACUGUGGUCUCUAAGGGUGAGGAAUCACAUGGUAAGAGAGCCCUAAUUAUCCCAGAUCCCUGCACAGGCACAAGGAGGUGGAGCCAAAGCCUUGAACAGUGGUCUUGCCGAGCUAAGGAGGCAGAUACUUGAGUUUGGGGUUGAUGGAGUGACUAGAAUUUUGGAGCAGACUCCUGGAAAGAAAACUGGAACUGCAUGGAGAAGAAUGACAGCAAUCUGCAUGAAGUUCCCUUUAUGAUUUUGGCCAAAUACUAACCUGUUCCUGCCCAGGGUAGGAUCUGUGAGGUAGAGCAGAGUGGAAUUAGAGUAGAGAUGGGAGUGGAAGGAAAAUAGCAGAGGUACACAGAGCUGGGGGUGGGAGGAGUUCUGACCCACUGGAGUUGCAACUGGACAUGCAAUUGAGAUCUGAAAAUAACCAUACUUCGGGAGGAAAGUCAUUCUAGUCAUAGAGUAAGGACUACAAAAAAUCUGCCCUAGCAAAUCUCAAUAACAAGCCCUGAAAAAGUCAACUGAUUCGUAAACUACUUAACUUUCUACAGAACAAAAGUCAAUAAUCAUUAAAGGAAGACAACAAAAUUCAGAUUCUCAGUAAAUCAGAAUUCACAAAAUCCAGCAUACCGAAAAUACACUAAAUGUGCCGAGGAAUAGGAAAAUUUAACUUGCAGCCAGGAAAAAAGUCAAUGGAGGCAGAACUGAAAUGACAAAGAUGUUGAAAUCAGCAAACUAGUACCCCAACACUGCCUCUUUUAUAUAUCUCAAUCUUACUCAACCUUGAAGGCUUUGGCCUUGAAUGGAUGGUUUGUGCAAUAAACUUUUCCUCUUAGUAGGUACAAUCGUUUUUAUCCAAUUGAGUGAACAGUAAUCUCUUUUGAAAGCAGAUGCCAUAAUAAUCUCUAGCGAGGAGAAGCCAAUCUAUUUCCAGCAGAAGCCAUAAAGAGCCCAGCCUACGAGUUCACCGUGUUAAAAAAAAAAAAAAAGUAAUAAAAUAUCUAUUUUCAACAUGCUUAAGGAUUCAAAGGAAAAAGAUCAAAAUAAUGAGUAAACAGAUGACAAAUCUCAAUGGAAAACUGGAAACUGUAAAACACAACCAAAUGAAACCUUUAGAAUUGAAAAUUUUAAUAUCCUAAACGAAAAAUUUAUCUGGUGGGGUUCAGCAACAGAUUUCACACAGCAAAGGGAAAAAUAAAUGACAAUGAAAAUUGGAAAAUAAAAACCACGCAAAACUGAAGCACAAAAACACGAGGUUAAAAAAAUUCCCUGCAGACUUUUGUAAGAAUUUACAAGUUAAUCCUAAAAUAUAUGUCAAAAUGUGAAUGAUCCAGAAUAGCCAAAACAAUCUUGAAAAAGAAAAACAUUGUGGGAUUACACAAUUUUAAGAUUUUCUAUAAAACUUCAAUAAUCAUGACAGUAUAGUAUUAUUAUAUCAUACACAUAAGAAAAAUAAUUUUAUAUAUUUUACACCUAAUGUAAAAGUUAAAACUAAAAACUUCUGGAAGAAAACACUGAAUAUUUUUGCAACCUUAGAGUAGGCAAAGAUUUCUUACAGUAGAAAAAGGACUAACUAUAAAAGCAUUUUUGAUAAAUGAGACUUCAUCAAAUUAAAACAUUUGUUCAUCAGACAUAUAUUUGCCUUUUAUAAAAUAUAUUCAUUAAAAUAUAAAGUGUAUUAUAAAUUACAUAUAUUUAAAUACAUUAUGAAGAUAUAUGAGUAAUAUAUACUAUAUUACAUUUUAUAUAUAUUUUAUUAAACUUCUCCCAAGACACACACACACAGAGAAACAUAUAUAUGACAAAGGGGUUGUAUGCAAAAUAUACACCAAAAAAUUACAACUCAUUAAAUUGACUACAGUUCAGCAAUAAAAAGAUAACAAUAAGAAAAGACAAAAUACUUGAGCAGACACUUCAUAAAGGAGAAUAUACAGAUGGGCAAAGAGCACAUGGUUAGUCAUCAGGGAAAUGUGGUAUUACCACAAUGAGAUAUCACCACACACCCAUUAGAAUGGCUAAAGUUAAAAAAAAUGAAAAAAAAAUUGGAAAGGAUGUGGAACAACUGAAACUCAUACUUUGUGGGUGGACAUGCAGAGUGGGAAAGCCACUUUGAGAAACAACUUGGCAACUUCUUAUAAAGGUAAACAUAUACCUACUUUACGAUCCAGGAAGGCACUCCUAACUCUUUACUCAAGAGAAAUAAAAAAUGUCUUCACAAAACUGCUGGAACAAAAAUAUUUAU